AUUGAACGCUGGCGGCAUGCCUUACACAUGCAAGUCGAACGGCAGCACGGGGGCAACCCUGGUGGCGAGUGGCGAACGGGUGAGUAACACAUCGGAACGUGCCCAGUAGUGGGGGAUAGCUCGGCGAAAGCCGGAUUAAUACCGCAUACGACCUACGGGUGAAAGCGGGGGAUCGCAAGACCUCGCGCUAUCGGAGCGGCCGAUGUCAGAUUAGGUUGUUGGUGGGGAAAGGCCUACCAAGCCGACGAUCUGUAGCUGGUCUGAGAGGACGACCAGCCACACUGGGACUGAGACACGGCCCAGACUCCUACGGGAGGCAGCAGUGGGGAAUUUUGGACAAUGGGCGCAAGCCUGAUCCAGCCAUG
This 365-nucleotide ribosomal RNA is filed under the name uncultured bacterium. RNAcentral's name for it is "bacterial SSU rRNA". It matches the Rfam family "Bacterial small subunit ribosomal RNA", at positions 29 to 396 of the family's 1533-position model. The record is from RNAcentral.